UAACCCCUCAAGCCUAGCUUGGUGUUGGAGCCUGCUGUUCCCGGCAGCCCUUAAAAUCAGUGGCGGUGUCCUCGGGCCCUGAGCGUAGUAAUCUUUCUCGCUACAGGGUCCCGGGCACGCUGGCCAUCAACCCCCCUAUAUUCUCU
This 146-nucleotide unclassified non-coding RNA is filed under the name uncultured Helotiales. Its description in RNAcentral is "sequence contains ITS2". Lineage: Eukaryota; Fungi; Ascomycota; Leotiomycetes; Helotiales. The record is from RNAcentral.